This 398-nucleotide unclassified non-coding RNA is filed under the name Hevea brasiliensis (rubber tree). The record is from RNAcentral. Lineage: Eukaryota; Viridiplantae; Streptophyta; Magnoliopsida; Malpighiales; Euphorbiaceae.
UCUACAGUUAACUUUGAUGUCAAUGGCAUCAAUUGUUUGGCUGGGAGUAAGUGGAUCAACUUUGUUUUAUAUCCAUUAACUUUUAUACUUUUAUGGGAAGAGACAAAUUGUUUUAAGCGAAGAGAUCAGUUGAAUCAUUGUAGAACCAGAUAUCUAAUCUGUAUUAGUGAUAUGGGUUUUUGACAUGGGAAAACGGUUUUUGUUAAAUCUUGUUUUAGUGAAGUUUCUUAUUUUUCUGGAAGGAAUUUUAAUUCCAAAUGUCAGUGUGGUUCAUUUCCUUUUAUUAGUUUUUUGGUAAUUUUAAUCAUGCUCAGUUAUUCUUUUCACGUUUGCAUAAAAUUGCUCUAUUUUAUGAAGUAUUCUUUUUGGUUUGGAUCUUGAUUUUACAUCAAUUGUUG